GACGAACCGUGCGAACGUUGUUCGGAUUCACUGGGCUUAAAGGGCGCGUAGGCGGACGGUCAAGUCAAGGGUGAAAUCUUUCAGCUUAACUGGAAAAGUGCCUUUGAUACUGAUCGUCUCGAGGGAGGUAGGGGCAUGUGGAACUUCCGGUGGAGCGGUGAAAUGCGUAGAUAUCGGAAGGAACGCCGGUGGCGAAAGCGACGUGCUGGACCUCUUCUGACGCUGAGGCGCGAAAAGCUAGGGGGAGCAAAACGGGG
RNAcentral lists this ribosomal RNA (257 nucleotides) under uncultured bacterium. RNAcentral describes it as "partial 16S ribosomal RNA". It matches the Rfam family "Bacterial small subunit ribosomal RNA", at positions 524 to 778 of the family's 1533-position model. The record is from RNAcentral.